GACGAACGCUGGCGGCGUGCUUAACACAUGCAAGUCGAACGGAAAGGCCCUGCUUUUGUGGGGUGCUCGAGUGGCGAACGGGUGAGUAACACGUGAGUAACCUGCCCUUGUCUUUGGGAUAACUUCAGGAAACUGGGGCUAAUACCGGAUAGGAGCUCCUGCUGCAUGGUGGGGGUUGGAAAGUUUCGGCGGUGGGGGAUGGACUCGCGGCUUAUCAGCUUGUUGGUGGGGUAGGUGCUUACCAAGGCUUUGACGGGUAGCCGGCCUGAGAGGGUGGCCGGCGACAUUGGGACUGAGAUACGGACCAGACGCCUACGGGAGGCAGCAGUGGGGAACAUUGCACAGUGGGCGGACGCCUGAUGCAGCAACGCCGCGUGCGGGAUGACCGCCUUUGGGGUGUAAACCGCUUUCGACUGUGACGAAGCGUGAGUGACGGUAAUGGGUAAAGAAGCACCGGCUAACUACGUG
Molecule: ribosomal RNA, 468 nt
Filed under: uncultured bacterium
Lineage: Bacteria
Description: partial 16S ribosomal RNA
Rfam family: Bacterial small subunit ribosomal RNA
Source: RNAcentral